UACAGAGGUCUCAAGCGUUGUUCGGAAUCACUGGGCGUAAAGGGUGCGUAGGUGGCAUGGUAAGUCAGAUGUGAAAGCCCAGGGCUCAACCUUGGAAUUGCAUCCGAUACUGCUGUGCUAGAGUACUGGAGGGGUGACUAGAAUUCUCGGUGUAGCAGUGAAAUGCGUAGAUAUCGAGAGGAAUACCAAAGGCGUAGGCAGGUCACUGGACAGUUACUGACACUGAGGCACGAAGGCCAGGGGAGCGAACGGG
This 253-nucleotide ribosomal RNA is filed under the name uncultured bacterium. RNAcentral describes it as "partial 16S ribosomal RNA". It matches the Rfam family "Bacterial small subunit ribosomal RNA", at positions 524 to 776 of the family's 1533-position model. The record is from RNAcentral.